AUACGGAGGAUCCGAGCGUUAUCCGGAUUUAUUGGGUUUAAAGGGUGCGCAGGCGGCCAUUUAAGUCAGCGGUUAAAUCGUGGGGCUCAACCCCAUUCUGCCGUUGAUACUGGGUGGCUUGAUUGCGGUCGAGGUUGGCGGAAUUCGUUGUGUAGCGGUGAAAUGCAUAGAUAUGACGAAGAACACCGAUUGCGUAGGCAGCUGACCAGACCGCAAAUGACGCUCAUGCACGAAAGUGCGGGGAUCGAACAGGAUUAGAUACCCUGGUAGUCCGCACAGUAAACGAUGAAUACUUGUUUUCGGCGAUAUAAUGUGGGAGGCAAAGCGAAAGCGAUAAGUAUUCCACCUGGGGAGUACGCCGGCAACGGUGAAACUCAAAGGAAUUGACGGGG
Molecule: ribosomal RNA, 392 nt
Filed under: uncultured bacterium
Lineage: Bacteria
Description: partial 16S ribosomal RNA
Rfam family: Bacterial small subunit ribosomal RNA
Source: RNAcentral